RNAcentral lists this ribosomal RNA (227 nucleotides) under uncultured Latescibacterota bacterium. RNAcentral's name for it is "uncultured Latescibacteria bacterium partial 16S ribosomal RNA". It matches the Rfam family "Bacterial small subunit ribosomal RNA", at positions 1156 to 1382 of the family's 1533-position model. The record is from RNAcentral. Lineage: Bacteria; Pseudomonadati; Candidatus Latescibacterota.
GGAUAAACCGGAGGAAGGCGGGGAUGACGUCAAGUCCUCAUGGCCCUUACAUCCCGGGCUACACACGUGCUACAAUGGCAGGUACAGAGGGCUGCGAAGCCGCGAGGUGGAGCGAAUCCCAGAAAACCUGUCUCAGUCCGGAUUGAAGUCUGCAACUCGACUUCAUGAAGGCGGAAUCGCUAGUAACCGCGAAUCAGCAGGUCGCGGUGAAUACGUUCCCGGGCCUU